UUUUCUCUUAUUCCUCUGCUUCAAGCUUUUCUUCUAGCCACCAUCAUCACCAUUUUGUUCUUUCACUAAAAAUCAACCCUCUUUUUGCUUAAUUACUCUAAAAAGGUUGCAGUGACAGUGGAAGAAAGUAGAAAAUGAGUGAGAGAGAAGUAGAAGAACCCAAAAUUGGGGAAAUGUGGAGAUCGGUGAUUGCAAAGUUUCUCAACAACACAACACUGAUUGGAGAAGGUAACCUUUUUAUUCCCUUUUUUAUACUUUUCUUAUUUAUUCUUUUCCGCUUUUUGUGUUAAUUCCUUUUGCAAGUUUUAGGGUUCUUAAUAUGCAAAAUUGUUUUGUUUUUAAAUUGAACCAUAUAAAAGAAAUGUUUGAUUUGACCCUUUUAUAUCAUUUGAAUUGUACGGUUCGAUUUUUUUCAAAAAAGUGAAAUAAACCGAAUCUCUCUGGGAUUGUUCCGAUUCAAUUUAAACCGUUUUCAAAAAGUUGUUUGCUCCGCUUUUUUUCCGAAAAUGGUUUUGGUUUUAAAAUUUGAUUCGGUUUGGUUUAUAGAAAAUUUGGUUCAUAUUUUUUUGAAUGCAUUAUUUUCAAUUUUGGAUUUUUAUUUCUAAAAUAAAAAAUAUUUUCGGAAUUUUUUGAAAUUAUGUUGGAUGCAAGUUGAAAAGUGUUGUGUGCAAGGAACAUUUGCCGGAUGACACUUUCUUUCUGCAUCCCUACAUUUUUUUUCAUGCACACCCUCACAAUUUUGUAAAUUCUGAAACUGACCCCCACAAUUUUGGGAUCUGGGACCGUGCUACGGAUUCAAUCAAUCUGAAAGUGAAUCAUGUUGCAUUCUGGAUGAGGGUGUUCCGAAAGCAAAGUUUGCAUAAAUUAUUUAUUUCAAGAUUGCUGAAUCCGGAAGCCUAAUUUCUAUUACGGAUUGGUGGAUCCUGAAUGAUUUUUUUCAAUUAUGGAUUUCUGAAUCCGGAAUACAUAUUUUGAAUUACGGAUUGACGGAUCCAGAAUGGUUUUUUGAAUGGAUGUUUUGCAUUUUUUUUUAUUUUGGAUUUGGAUUAACACUAUCGGAAGCAUCAAUCCAAGAGUUCGAAAAUUUACUGAAUUUCAUAAUCUGGAAUACAAAAAAUAAAUAAAUGUACAGUUUAUAUAGGGACAUUUUCGUCUUUGCGCAACCUUGUAGGGUGCAAUAAGAAAAAUGUAGGGGUGCAGGAAGAAACUGCUUUACCGGAUUGUAUUGAUUUUUCUCCCGCGGCCCAAUUUUCAAAUUGAGCCAUACAACCUCUCAAAUUAAGGCAAUUGCUUUUUGCAGAUUCUUCCUGCACCUCUAUCACUACUAUUGUAAAGAUGAAAAUACCCUUUAUUUAUUUAUUUAUAUAUACCGUAAGGUUUUAAAGUUGACUUUAUACUAUAAAUUAUUGUAAAUGUAUUUUUAAUUUGAAAAUUAACAUACAAAUGUGAAUUUUAUAUUAUAUUAUUUUAAGCUAUAUUUUUUAUUAUGCAAUCUAAAAUAUAUUUAGUCUAAAAUAUAAUUUUUAUUUUUGAAUUAUAUGAUUCUAAAGUUUAAUAUUGUAUAAUUUAAAAUAAAUUUAGAAAGUCAUACUAUAGAUAUAGAUUGUAUAAUCUAAAAUAUUGUUUUGAAUUUUUUGAUUUCACAGUUUAGAACAAAUAUAAUUUUUCUUACAAUUUAGAAUAAAUCACUUUUAGGAGUGUGAUGCAUGGCAAAAUGUAUUUUAAAUUUGAAUUUUUGAAAUAUACUUCCAAUUUGGAUUUCUGAUAUACUUUUUUAGAUUUUCUAAAUUUGAAAUUUUAGAAUACUUUUCUGAAUUUUUCAAAUUUAGAUUUCUGAAAUACAUAUAAUUUAGAUUUCUAGAACACUUUUCUAGAUUUUUGGAGUUGGAUUUCCAAAAUAUAUUUUUGAAUUUGAAUUUCCAUAAUACUUUUCUGGAUUUUUGUUUUUUGGAGUUUUAUUUUCAGAAUGCAAAAAGUUUUAUGGAUUUCUUUUUUCAUAAUAUAUUUUUCAAUUUGAAAAUUCUAAUUCUGGAAUGAAAAUCAAUGUUGAAAAUUUCAAAAUUAAUUUGGUGCAUAUCUAAGUUCAAAAUGUAUGUUUGCAAUCUUUUCUUUUUUUCAUGUUUGCAACGAAAUGUCCAAACAUUUGAUAAAGACGAGAUCCUUAUAUACCAUUGGGUGAAGAUGAGAUAAUUAAUUUUAUAUUAAUUAAAUUUAAAAAUAAAAAAUAAUUAAUUAUUAUAUUAAUUAAAUUAUAUAUUAAUUUAAAGAUUAAAAAAUUAUUGAUAUACGAAGUGAUUUUUAUUAUUAAUAAAAAUUUAUAAAAUAAUUUUUAAAUUGGUAUCUACACUAACUAUUUAAAUUUUAGUUAUUAAUAUUUUAGAUUUUAAAUUGAUCUCUAAAAUACUAAUAGAUAGUAAUUUAGACUAUAAAAUAGUAAGUAACUUGAUAAUUAAGAGAUUAGAUACCAAUUUAAAAACUAUUUUAUAAAUUUUUAUUAAUAAUAAAAACUACUUUAGAAACUAAUAAUUGUUUUAGUUUAUAAAAUAUCUCUAACUUAGUGAAAUAGUAACUAAGUCAAAUAAUAAUUAAUUAUUUUAAUUUUUAAAAUUAUUUUUUAUUUAAUAUUUUUCUUGUAGUAACUAUUAAUCUCUCUCAUUUUUCUGUUUCUUCUUCAAUUAUUCCUUUGUUAUUUCUUGUUUUUCUUAGGUUUCAGUUCUGGAGGGUUUAAUAAUUACCACUAAGAAGUGCUUAAACAUAGUAGUAAAUUACAAGUUCAAGUAUUUCUUAGGUAGUUAUCAUUGAAUUCUCUGGAACUGAAAAUAAGAUAAAAGUGAAGAAACAAUGGAAGAUGCAGAAAAUGAAGACAGUGGAGAACUCUUCAUCACUCCUUCAGUCUUGUAAGGUGGAGACUCAAGGAAUUUUAUUUAUUUAUUUAUUUUAAAAUAUUUAAUUUAGACAAUUUAAUUCAAUUUUUG
This 2975-nucleotide long non-coding RNA is filed under the name Phaseolus vulgaris (common bean). RNAcentral's name for it is "long non-coding RNA (PVUL_LNC003704)". Lineage: Eukaryota; Viridiplantae; Streptophyta; Magnoliopsida; Fabales; Fabaceae. The record is from RNAcentral.